RNAcentral lists this ribosomal RNA (703 nucleotides) under uncultured bacterium. RNAcentral's name for it is "partial 16S ribosomal RNA". The stretch from base 1 to 441 matches the Rfam family "Bacterial small subunit ribosomal RNA", at positions 100 to 545 of the family's 1533-position model. The record is from RNAcentral.
GGAGGGGUGGCUUAGCUUGGUGCCUGCCUUAUGGCGGGACAUUACUACGGGAUACUGUUACUUUACGACAUCCUUUAUUGCAUAAGAACUGUUUAGAACGUCCGGAGCUCGCCUUCCAUUUGGACCUGCUGGGAUUUAGCUGGUUGGGAGGUUAAGAUUCUGCAAGGCCAAAAACAUAACCGACCCGAGAGGGUGAUCGGCCACCCUGGGACUGAGACACGGCCCAGACUCCUACGGCAUGCUGCAGAGGGGAUCUUCGGGCAUGGGGGGAAGUCCUGCCGCCUGCAUGACGUUCGAAUGAAGAGUGUCUUCAGCUUGGAGAUCUGUUUCCUUUGAAGAAAAGUGUGUUAGUGCAAAACUCUGGAUGAGUGACGUGUUACCAAUAAGAAACUCCGGAUUGCUCGCCGCUGCCUGGCUAAUACAUAGGUACGGAGCGUUCUCGUGAUUUAUUUCUGAUAUUGCUGGGGGUACCCAUUACAUGACUUGAAAGAAGAGUCUGAGGCUUAACGCUAAUCCUGUUUGAAGACUGUUUUACUUGAGUCGAUGAAGUGAUAUUGGAAUUCCAUAGAAUUCCACGAUUGCGUAGAUAUGCAAAUGAAUACAUUUGGACACAAACUCUAUGGCUUGCCCUUGUCUCUGACACUGACAUGCCUGUGAGCAACGUGAUUAGAUACCGAGACUAGAUCCCCUGCGACGCCAGUCC